GGGCUUGUGGCUCAGCUAGGUAGAGCAAUCGGCUCUUAACCGAUGGGUCAGGGGUUCGAAUCCCCUCAAGCCCG
Molecule: transfer RNA, 74 nt
Filed under: Thermoplasmatota archaeon
Lineage: Archaea; Methanobacteriati; Thermoplasmatota
Description: Candidatus Thermoplasmatota archaeon tRNA-Lys
Rfam family: tRNA
About the family: Transfer RNA (tRNA) molecules are approximately 80 nucleotides in length. Their secondary structure includes four short double-helical elements and three loops (D, anti-codon, and T loops).
Source: RNAcentral